GAGAGUUUGAUUAUGGCUCAGGAUGAACGCUGGCGGCGUGCUUAACACAUGCAAGUCGAGCGAGAAACUACAUGCAGACACUUCGGUAGAAGCGAGUAGCGGAAAGCGGCGGACGGGUGAGUAACGCGUAGGCAACCUGCCCUUCACAGAGGUAUAGCCUCGGGAAACCGGGAUUAAAACCACAUAAAAUCAUAGGUUCGCAUGAACCAAAGGUCAAAGAUUUAUCGGUGAAGGAUGGGCCUGCGUCUGAUUAGCUGGUUGGUAGGGUAAAAGCCUACCAAGGCGACGAUCAGUAGCCGACCUGAGAGGGUGAUCGGCCACAUUGGAACUGAGACACGGUCCAAACUCCUACGGGAGGCAGCAGUGGGGGAUAUUGCACAAUGGGGGAAACCCUGAUGCAGCAACGCCGCGUGAGGUAUGAAGGCCUUUGGGUUGUAAGCCUCUGUCCUGGGGGAAGAAAAAAAUGACGGUACCCGAGGAGGAAGCCCCGGCUAACUACGUGCCAGCAGCCGCGGUAAUACGUAGGGGGCAAGCGUUAUCCGGAAUUAUUGGGCGUAAAGAGUGCGUAGGUGGUCUACUAAGCGCGAGGUGAAAGGCAAUGGCUCAACCAUUGUUAGCCUUGCGAACUGGCAGACUUGAGUGCAAGAGAGGAAAGCGGAAUUCCUAGUGUAGCGGUGAAAUGCGCAGAUAUUAGAGGAACACCGGCGGCGAACGCGGCUUUCUGGAUUGUAACUGACACUGAGCACGAAAGCGUGGGUAGCAAACAGGAUUAGAUACCCUGGUAGUCCACGCCGUAAACGAUGAGCACUAGUGUCGGGACAUGAGUCUCGGUGCCGUAGUUAACGCAAUAAGUGCUCCGCCUGGGAGUACGCACGCAGUGUAAACUCAAAGAAUUGACGGGACCCGCACAGCAGCGAGCAUGUGGUUAUCGAGCACGCGAGAGCUACAGACUGACAUCCUCUGACGUACCCUAUCGGUAUUCCUCGGACGAGGAAAAGUGUGCAUGCUGUCGUCAGCUCGUCCUGAAUGUGUAGUCCGCAACGCGCACUGCUUAGUGCACAUUAGUUGGACUAAGACUGCGACUCGAGAGUGGAUAGCCAUCUCAUGCUAGCUGUAACCGUCAAUGUCGUACAGAGCAUCGCAAGGAACAGCUAAACGCGCUGA
This 1164-nucleotide ribosomal RNA is filed under the name uncultured bacterium. RNAcentral describes it as "bacterial SSU rRNA". It matches the Rfam family "Bacterial small subunit ribosomal RNA", at positions 8 to 1100 of the family's 1533-position model. The record is from RNAcentral.